RNAcentral lists this ribosomal RNA (216 nucleotides) under Salmonella enterica. RNAcentral's name for it is "partial 23S ribosomal RNA". It matches the Rfam family "Bacterial large subunit ribosomal RNA", at positions 2064 to 2279 of the family's 2925-position model. Lineage: Bacteria; Pseudomonadati; Pseudomonadota; Gammaproteobacteria; Enterobacterales; Enterobacteriaceae. The record is from RNAcentral.
GUGUACCCGCGGCAAGACGGAAAGACCCCGUGAACCUUUACUAUAGCUUGACACUGAACAUUGAGCCUUGAUGUGUAGGAUAGGUGGGAGGCUUUGAAGCGUGGACGCCAGUCUGCGUGGAGCCGACCUUGAAAUACCACCCUUUAAUGUUUGAUGUUCUAACGUGGACCCGUAAUCCGGGUUGCGGACAGUGUCUGGUGGGUAGUUUGACUGGGG